AUGACAAACCCUGAGUCUUUUCAUGGGUGAUUCAGUGGAAAUAUUCUCCGGUAGCCAGAGGCGUGGCUUGCCUGGGCCUCUGGGUGCAGCUGCACAGACUCAAGCAGCCUGAAGGAAAGGUGACUGACAGUUAAUGAUCUGAAAAGAACUUGUCUCAACUCAACGUCAUUCCUGGCAUUAUCGAACAAAGCAAUAAACCUCACAGAAUGGAAGCUACAGUGUCCAGGGCCAGCUCUGCUAAGCUUGUGAUGAAUGUUUUCUCAGUAUCCUAUGCUGAAAACAGGUAGAUACUAAUCCCUCCUUCAAGGGAGGGCUGUUGAGUAUUGAAUAAGAUAAAAACAUGGAAGCAAUCAGCACAAUGCUGGAAUCAAGCCUAUCUGUAAUCACAGGGCUAUUUGAAAAAGAGAAGAAAAGGUGUCUUGAAAUUAAACCAACAUGUUUCAAUUAUUUGCUCCUAAGAACAACAGAAGUUUCAACAUUCUGCCAACACAGUAACUCCUGGGAGAUUGGCACAGAAGAAGGCACAAGGAGAGCUUUUAUAUAACCAAAGAUAUUUUUGGACCAUGAAUUCGGAAAUUCUCGGAGCCACCCAUCAAUGCCUGAGCUUCAGUGAGUCCAUAUCCCAUGUCACCUACGGCAAAGGAGAAUCUGAGACUUCUGAAGAGUUUCUUGCUUCUUUCCUGUGGGGCAGUGACUCCACUUCCCAGCAGUAAUGGAAUAUCCUGAAUUAGCUACAUUAAUGUUAGAACCAUUUGGACCUCACCCAGGACUUCAACUACAUUGUGGUUCUAGUAUGUUAGGUUUAUGUUCCCCUGCUUUCUACAAUCCUGUUCAAAGAGUUGCUGACUUAACCACAGAGAGAAUUCCAGAACAUGAGACACAGAAUAAACUUGAACAAUCAUAGUCCAUCCACUUCAUUUUCUCAUCGAAAACCAAAGGUCCAGUGAGGCUCUGGAACUCGACGCUGUAAAGGAGCGAAGGAGCAUCUAUACAGAACCUGGAUGCCUGUCUCCUUAUCCUAC
Molecule: non-coding RNA, 1022 nt
Filed under: Pongo abelii (Sumatran orangutan)
Lineage: Eukaryota; Metazoa; Chordata; Mammalia; Primates; Hominidae
Source: RNAcentral